Molecule: long non-coding RNA, 1353 nt
Filed under: Heterocephalus glaber (naked mole-rat)
Lineage: Eukaryota; Metazoa; Chordata; Mammalia; Rodentia; Bathyergidae
Description: lncRNA (ENSHGLG00000034654.1)
Source: RNAcentral
GCCGAGCAGAGGGCAUUGCUUUUCAAAUAGAGAUAGGGCGCAGCCAGGCACCUGUACACAGGAAGGGACUUCAGGGGAGGUGACCCGCCCUGCAGGAGGGACAGCCUGUGUCUGAUCCCUGGUGCUGGCUGCUGGGUUCCCCAGGGACGUUUUCCACCUCCCCAGACAAGUACCGGCUGCUGCCCGCCUGCUGGGCUGACCUCCUGGGCCCAGAAGCUGCAGGGCUUUGGGGAUAUUUAAUUCUGGAAACGUUCCCAUGGAAGUCCUAUGUUACAAUGUGGACAGGACGGCUUGAGAUGCUGGUCUAUAAAUGGUUGAUAAAAUGGAAGGCUUUUGGAUGACUCCUGUUUAUGGACUGGAAAUUCGGAAGGCCGGGAUGAGGCGCUGGUUGGACACGUGCAGACCAUUUGUCCCAAACCCAGUGAGAAAUGGACCUGGGCAUCAAGUAGGGAUGGAGAGCUGAUUUCCACUCCCGGAGGAAGCCGUCUGGACUGGAGUCCACGCAGUUUCACGCACUUCCCUCUGAAUGAGAUGGACCUGGAGGCCCAGCCUCAGUGGUUCACUUCCGCUUUGUGGGAGGAACAUAAAAUAGAACACAAAUUUCCAUGGGCAGCUGGACCCAAAAUGGGAAAGGCCACGGCGGGAGGAACUCUGGACGUGAACUCGUCCUAGGAGAGGAAUGUGCACCAAUGGAGCCCCCACUCUCCAUUCACUGAAAAGAUAUACAAGGAAUGUUUGGGAGGAGGAAGUAACGGUUAGGGUAAAGAGAUGCAGAGAGCUACAAGGCUGAGCGUUUGAAGCGUUUGUGCUGGAACAGAGGGAGCCGGUCAUUUCAGGUGUUGAAAGCUUACCUGAAGUCUACUUUUGCUUAAAGAUAUCGGAGUCACGGUAGCUUUCGCCCCGAGGAGACCAGGUUGGUAUGGGGUACCUGUGUGUCCGUUGGCUUAUCUUGGGGUGGCCCUGGGGUGGACAAAGUCGCAUCCAUUUUGGGUUCCCUUGUGGAGAGGGCAGGUGUGAUGGCAGCUGUUGAAGACUUACCAGGUAGGUCUUCCUGAUUUGGGGCCAAUCCCUGUAUGUUAGCUGGAAACCUCAGCACCCUCAUUAAUAAGAAAGGUCAAUAAUAACAUCUACCUGUGGGAUGCGGUGGGACCCGGGAGAUCAGGUGUGUAAAGUGAUGUUCUGGCACAUAAUUCAAAACAAUUUAAAUAUGCAUUUCUUUGACACCCACAUUGAGAUAGUUUGUAGCAAGCUUUAGACUUUACAAAUAUUGUUUCCUAGUUUGAAGUCACCCUGUGAAUUGGAUAAGAAAUAUCCUUGUAACUCAUGGGGAAAAAAGAUGUGCACCUGUGGAAG